This 24-nucleotide small RNA is filed under the name Vibrio cholerae O1 biovar El Tor str. N16961. The record is from RNAcentral. Lineage: Bacteria; Pseudomonadati; Pseudomonadota; Gammaproteobacteria; Vibrionales; Vibrionaceae.
UGAUGAGCCGCUGCGCCGAAUCAA